CUGUGUCCUAAUGUAAACUCUUUACGUUUUCGGGUCCACACACCAGCUCCAGCUAAUACUGGGCCAGUAUGGCGCGGGUCCAAACAAACAGCGGUUCUGAAGAAGCACGUAGCGCAGCUGCACGAUUCUGCCUGCAGUUCCGCGACUUUUUAGCUGCAGUGUGGGCUGGUUCAGCAUGACAGAGGGCAGCAGUACUCAAACUUUAUUCACCCUGCUGUCGACAGGCUAAGGGCGGGGAACAUUGCGGACAAAAUUUUGGAAGAUGUCUCUACUCCUAAAAUGAAAAAAUCUCAAUGUGCAUUGCAUGGGCAAUUAGGUGAGUUAAAACUUAUACAAACCUUAUAUUGUGCAAUAACAUAAACUGUAUAAAGAACAAGCCUGUAUUGCAUAUAAACAUGUACUGUAUAAAGAAGCAAGCCUGUAUCAUAUAAACAAUAUAAAGGAACAAAUAUAUAACACUUCCACACAUCCUGCAUAAACUAUGAAGGGAAAAGAACAGAAAACAAAAAAAUCCCAAUAAAACAGAAAUUUAUAACAACAAAAAAGAAUGAAAUGGUGCAGGAUGAUGCAGGCAUAACAAACACGAUGGGAGGAUUUAAUUAAAGCUGUGUGGGAAGGCAGUGUAUUGGAAAUGCAAGUCUUGAAUGUGCUGGGUUAUUGGCCAGGGAGACAGUGGAUUU
This is a long non-coding RNA of Anguilla anguilla (European eel), 680 nucleotides long. RefSeq lists it as uncharacterized. Lineage: Eukaryota; Metazoa; Chordata; Actinopteri; Anguilliformes; Anguillidae. The transcript has 3 exons. The record is from RefSeq and is a predicted model, not a curated record.